RNAcentral lists this ribosomal RNA (465 nucleotides) under uncultured bacterium. RNAcentral describes it as "partial 16S ribosomal RNA". It matches the Rfam family "Bacterial small subunit ribosomal RNA", at positions 28 to 507 of the family's 1533-position model. The record is from RNAcentral.
GACGAACGCUGGCGGCGUGCUUAACACAUGCCAGUCGAGCGGUAAGGCCCCUUCGGGGGUACACGAGCGGCGAACGGGUGAGUAACACGUGAGCAAUCUGCCCAUCACAUCGGGAUAACUCCGGGAAACCGAAGCUAAUACCGAAUACGACCACCUCCGGCAUCGGAUGGUGGUGGAAAGUUCCGGCGGUGAUGGAUGAGCUCGCGGCCUAUCAGCUUGUUGGUGGGGUAACGGCCCACCAAGGCUUCGACGGGUAGCCGGCCUGAGAGGGUGACCGGCCACACUGGGACUGAGACACGGCCCAGACUCCUACGGGAGGCAGCAGUGGGGAAUAUUGGACAAUGGGCGUAAGCCUGAUCCAGCAACGCCGCGUGAGGGAUGACGGCCUUCGGGUUGUAAACCUCUUUCAGCAGGGACGAAGCGCAAGUGACGGUACCUGCAGAAGAAGCACCGGCCAACUACGUG